Long non-coding RNA from Corapipo altera (White-ruffed manakin), 557 nucleotides. RefSeq lists it as uncharacterized. Lineage: Eukaryota; Metazoa; Chordata; Aves; Passeriformes; Pipridae. The record is from RefSeq and is a predicted model, not a curated record. The transcript has 2 exons.
CGAUCCCGCAGCACGGCCGGGCCGCGCUGCCCCCGGCGGCCUCACCACGCCCGCCUCUCCCCCGCGGCUCGGCACAGCGGCCGCCGGGCCACGGGGGAGUCCCACCGGGGUCUUUGUCCCUUGGAGGAACUGCGAUCAAAAAACAUUGUGCUUUAGCGGACUCAAGGUGCUGCACACGUGGCAGUAAAGGUUCCCGUGUGGUCGUCGGGAUACUGAGCUGUAAAUCUGGUUGCUACUAAAAACCAAACGCCGCUGACAGAUUCCGAGGGCAUUGCGUUCCACCCAGCUACACUGGUACUGAGGCCAACAACUUCUGCUUGUGUUCAGCUAGAGCAACAUUUCUCCUUAUGGAAAGUAUUUUGGUUUUCCUUUCUCUGCUGGAAGAAACUGAGCAACUGCUGCCAGCUCCAGGGAACAUGCAUUGGCGAGUACUGUAUUUCCAGAAAGUUCUUCCAUAAAGAUAUGUUGUACUCAGGAAAGCACUGAAAAAUGAAGGAUCCACCAUAUUUCUUUAUGGUUUGUCCUAGUAAUUAAACAACUGUACUUUUAAAUUUGAA